This 485-nucleotide ribosomal RNA is filed under the name uncultured bacterium. RNAcentral describes it as "bacterial SSU rRNA". It matches the Rfam family "Bacterial small subunit ribosomal RNA", at positions 501 to 982 of the family's 1533-position model. The record is from RNAcentral.
CUACGUGCCAGCAGCCGCGGUAAUACGUAGGGCGCGAGCGUUGUCCGGAAUUAUUGGGCGUAAAGAGCUUGUAGGCGGUUUGUCGCGUCUGCUGUGAAAGGCCGGGGCUUAACCCCGUGUAUUGCAGUGGGUACGGGCAGACUAGAGUGCAGUAGGGGAGACUGGAAUUCCUGGUGUAGCGGUGGAAUGCGCAGAUAUCAGGAGGAACACCGAUGGCGAAGGCAGGUCUCUGGGCUGUAACUGACGCUGAGAAGCGAAAGCAUGGGGAGCGAACAGGAUUAGAUACCCUGGUAGUCCAUGCCGUAAACGUUGGGCACUAGGUGUGGGGGACAUUCCACGUUUUCCGCGCCGUAGCUAACGCAUUAAGUGCCCCGCCUGGGGAGUACGGCCGCAAGGCUAAAACUCAAAGAAAUUGACGGGGGCCCGCACAAGCGGCGGAGCAUGCGGAUUAAUUCGAUGCAACGCGAAGAACCUUACCAAGGCUU